Molecule: long non-coding RNA, 1510 nt
Filed under: Homo sapiens (human)
Lineage: Eukaryota; Metazoa; Chordata; Mammalia; Primates; Hominidae
Description: HSALNT0221984
Source: RNAcentral
CAGGAGUGGAAGCAAGAAGCCUCCUAAGGAGAUGGAUGCUGGAGCUGUGGACGUCCAGCUGUGGAUGGCAGAAGGGCCACUGUCUGAAGUGGGAAGUCUGGACAUUCCCAAAGGAGUCUUUGAAAGACUGGGUCUUCUCCUGAGCCUGAGAGCAGUGCUUCUUCCAAUGGCACUGCUUCCAUUUUAAGCAUCAGCAUGGCCCGGGAGCUUGUUGGAAUGAAGAAUCUCCAGCUCCACCCGAAACCUGCUGAAUCAGAACCAGCAUUUAACACGUCACCAGGAUCCCAGGUCACUUGGCUGUCCUUGGCUCAACUGUGAGUAAGGAGGAGUCCUGCGGAAUGAAAAAUGACUACCCAGAUUUGCCACCAAAAUCCAGCAGGAGUGCCUUAGAAAGCAGGUAAGGCAUAGGAGCCCCAGUCUUGGGGCACAAGAAGAAUGGUCUCCAUCUGUCCGGUCCUCUUCAUGGGAGGAGCCCUUGCCUGUGCACUCUUUUUUUUUUUUUUUUUUUUUUUUUGAGAUGGGGUCUCCCUCUGUUGCUGAGGCUGGAGGGCAGUGGUGCAAUCUCAGCUCACUGCAACCUCCACUUCCUGGGUUCAAGUGAUUCUCCCCCCUCAGCCUCCGGAGUGGCUGGGAUUACAGGUGCAUACCACCACGCCCGGCUAAUUUUUGUAUUUUUAGUAGAGACGGAGUUUCAGCAUGUUGGCCAGGCUGGUCUCGAACUCCUGACCUCAAGUGAUCCACCUGCUUUGGCCUCCUAAAGUGCCGGGAUUACAGGUGAGAGCCACUGUGCCCGGCCACCUGUGCACUCUUUCAUGGGAUUUCUAAGCAGUGCCGGGAGGCAGGCAGGAUCGCUUUUGACUUAUGAUGAUGGAAGAAAAUUAAGCUAAAGUGGGUCAUCUUGUUUCAAAUGCAGUGAUUGUCCCAUCAUGCCUUGAAGCCUCUCGAAAGGAGAGGUGUGAGAGUCAGUACAACACUUUGCCAUCGGCAGAGGUCUUUGGGCUGGCUCUCGAUGCCUCUGGGCCCUGGAACAAGAGAACAAAUGGAGGCCGCCCACCAUGUGUCUAAAUAUUAUUUAAAAGUUAUUAAUUAGGGGCUGAGCGCAGUGGCUCAUGCCUGUAAUCCCAGCACUUAAAGAGACUGAGGCAAGAGGAUCGCUUGAGCCCAAAACUUCAAGACCAGCCUGGGCAACAUACAAGACCUUGUCUCUACAAAAAAAAUGUAAAAAUUUGCUGGGUGCGGUGGCGUGCCUAUAGUUUCAGCUAUUUGGGAGGCCAAGAUAGGAGGAUGGCUUGAGCCUGGGGAGUUGAGGCUGCAAUGAACCAAGACUGCACCACUGCACUCCAGCCUGGGCAACAGGGCGAGACCCUGUCUAAAAAAAAAAAAAAAAAAAACAAAAAACAGGCCGGGCGCGGUGGCUCACGCCUGUAAUCCCAGCACUUUGGGAGGCUGGGGCAGGUGGAUCACGAGGUCAGGUGAUUGAGGCCAUCCUGGUUAACACGGUGAAACCUCG